RNAcentral lists this ribosomal RNA (301 nucleotides) under uncultured bacterium. RNAcentral's name for it is "partial 16S ribosomal RNA". It matches the Rfam family "Bacterial small subunit ribosomal RNA", at positions 509 to 807 of the family's 1533-position model. The record is from RNAcentral.
CAGUAGCCGCGGGAAUACGAAGGGGGCUAGCGUUGCUCGGAAUGACUGGGCGUAAAGGGCGCGUAGGCGGAUGGCACAGUCAGAUGUGAAAUUCCCGGGCUUAACCUGGGGGCUGCAUUUGAUACGUGUUGUCUAGAGUGAGGAAGAGGGUCGUGGAAUUCCCAGUGUAGAGGUGAAAUUCGUAGAUAUUGGGAAGAACACCGGUGGCGAAGGCGGCGACCUGGUCCUUUACUGACGCUGAGGCGCGAAAGCGUGAGGAGCAAACAGGAUUAGAUACCCCAGUAGUCCCUGUCUCUUAUAC